RNAcentral lists this ribosomal RNA (274 nucleotides) under uncultured bacterium. RNAcentral describes it as "partial 16S ribosomal RNA". It matches the Rfam family "Bacterial small subunit ribosomal RNA", at positions 523 to 796 of the family's 1533-position model. The record is from RNAcentral.
AGACGGAGGGUGCAAGCGUUAAUCGGAAUUACUGGGCGUAAAGCGCUCGUAGGCGGCCUGUUAAGUCGGCUGUGAAAGCCCCGGGCUCAACCUGGGAACUGCAUUCGAAACUGGCAGGCUAGAGUAUAGUAGAGGCAAGUGGAAUUCCGGGUGUAGCGGUGAAAUGCGUAGAUAUCCGGAGGAACAUCAGUGGCGAAGGCGACUUGCUGGACUAAUACUGACGCUGUGGAGCGAAAGCGUGCGGAGCAAACGGGAUUAGAAACCCCAGUAGUCC